CCCGCCCCCGCCCAGGAACCGCAUUUCCGGGUUGGGUCCCGGCGCGCCUGUAGAGGGAGACCGAGCGAGCCAAUCCGGGGCGGCGGGGAGGGGCUGGGUCUAGAGCGCCGAGCUGUCAUCCGCGUUCCUUGUCAGCUCACGAGUGAUCCGGGAGAGAGAUUGGGCUAUCCUAUUAUUUGAAGCAGAAAACAAGCCGUCCUGUCACUGACAGCCUCGGAAACUGUGCCUCUGUGUUGAGGUCAGAAGAGGGUAUCAAAUCCCCUGGAACUGGAGAUGGUUGUUAUCAACAGGUGGGUGCUCAGAACAACAGCAACACGUGCCCUUAACCUCUGCCAUUUCUCCAGCCCUAUAAGAAGUUUCUGUGAGUUUGAGGCCACCUUGGCCUCCAUGGUGAGUCCCAGGCCAGCCAAGGUUACAUAGUGAGAUCCUGUCUCAAACCAAGAAACUAAAAAUAAAUGAAUAAGAAGAAACCUUGUGUCAAAUAAGGUGGCAGAUAAGGACUAAGACCUGAAGCUGUCCUUGACCUCCAUAUAUGUGCCUGCACUCACACACACAAAUGUGCACACACACACACACACACACACACACACACACACACGGUGGGUUGACUUAAAGCAGCAUGGACUAUAACUCCCAGUGCCCAGAAGUCUCAUGUGGGGUGACCCAUCCUUCCUUUGACACCAAACACUGUUCCCCUGUGUCCUGUGUGCCCUUCUCCUGGUGGCCAUCUGCCUCAGCUGCAGAGGAUUCCAUUGCAGGAACAUUCCAUUUACAGAUGGGUAUUUAGAGAUCCACAUAUUGAUAAAUCUCUACUAACAUACCAAACAUUAAAAUGGUUCCCAGGCUGAGUGGUGGUGGCGCACACCUUUAAUCACAGCACUUGGAAGGCAGAAGCAGGUGGAUCUCUAUGAGUUCGAGGCCAGCCUGGUCUACACAGUUAGUUCUAGGACAGCCAAAGCUACAAAAAGAAACCCUGUUUCAAACAAACAAACAAACAAACAAAAACAACAACAAAAUAGUUCCCAGUUUUGUUUUGUUCUCAUGAACCAAGUCCUACACCAAAAUCUAGACACAGCCUUACUUGCUUUCUUGGAUAAAUUUGUAGUCUAUGAAAUUAGUAGGUCAAAGUGCAGUUCAUUACUGCUAAAUUGCCUGCCAUGUCCCACAAAGGCUACACUGUCAUUCCCUCUAUGAGGAGGGGAUGGGGUGGAGUGGG
Long non-coding RNA from Peromyscus maniculatus bairdii (prairie deer mouse), 1216 nucleotides. RefSeq lists it as uncharacterized. The record is from RefSeq and is a predicted model, not a curated record. Lineage: Eukaryota; Metazoa; Chordata; Mammalia; Rodentia; Cricetidae.